This 25-nucleotide transfer RNA is filed under the name Zelkova serrata. RNAcentral describes it as "partial tRNA-His". The record is from RNAcentral. Lineage: Eukaryota; Viridiplantae; Streptophyta; Magnoliopsida; Rosales; Ulmaceae.
AUGUAGCCAAGUGGAUUAAGGCAGU